RNAcentral lists this non-coding RNA (222 nucleotides) under Cucumis melo (muskmelon). RNAcentral's name for it is "Bacterial large subunit ribosomal RNA". It matches the Rfam family "Bacterial large subunit ribosomal RNA", at positions 1793 to 2011 of the family's 2925-position model. The record is from Rfam by way of RNAcentral. Lineage: Eukaryota; Viridiplantae; Streptophyta; Magnoliopsida; Cucurbitales; Cucurbitaceae.
UUGGCGACUGUUUACCAAAAACACAAGUCUACGCAAAGUUGUAAGACCAUGUAUGGGGGCUGAUGCCUGCCCAGUGCCAGAAGGUCAGGGAAGUUGGUGACCUGAUGACAGGGGAGCCUAAGAUUGAAGCCCCGGUGAACGGCGACCGUCACUAUAACGAUCCCCACGGAGCAGUAGAAAAAUUCUUUAUCAGGUCAGUUCUGACCUUGGUCUAUCAGUCAA